Molecule: ribosomal RNA, 204 nt
Filed under: uncultured bacterium
Lineage: Bacteria
Description: partial 16S ribosomal RNA
Rfam family: Bacterial small subunit ribosomal RNA
Source: RNAcentral
AUUGAACGCUGGCGGCGUGCUUAACACAUGCAAGUCGAGCGGUAACAGGCGUAGCAAUACGUGCUGACGAGCGGCGAACGGGUGCGUAAUACAUCGGAAUCUGCCUAGUAGUGGGGAAUAACCCGGCGAAAGCCGGGCUAAUGCCGCAUACGAUCCACGGAUGAAAGCGGGGGACGUUUCGGUCCGUCGCGCUAUUAGUAUGAG